Molecule: unclassified non-coding RNA, 145 nt
Filed under: uncultured Leohumicola
Lineage: Eukaryota; Fungi; Ascomycota; Leotiomycetes
Description: sequence contains ITS2
Source: RNAcentral
UAACCCUCAAGCCUGGCUUGGUGUUGGGGCCUGCUGUUACCGGCAGCCCUUAAAAUCAGUGGCGGUGCCAUCUGGCUCUAAGCGUAGUAAUACUUCUCGCUACAGGGUCCCGGUGGAUGCUUGCCAUCAACCCCUAAUUUUCUAU